UCGUCUAAAAAGGUGUCAAAUUCGUGAACAUCGAAUUUGGUUUCGAAAAUGUGGGAUCCGUACUUGUUGACCACGACUAUUUGCAGCAGUAUUCGAUGUGUGGAAUAAAAAUGCAUCAAUUUCGUUUUUCUUUUCCUUGAUGAAAGCGAAAUGUAUCUGAUUCGAACAAUGCAAUGAUGGGAGGAGUUUAACAGAUUAACCAAACCACGUCAGCACUCGCCCAUCGAUAAAUAAACAACAGUAGAAUCACAAAAAUAAAAUAAAAUUGGGAUCAUAAUAAUAUUAGCAUCGAGUCACGAUUACAGAACAAACCCUUCGACAAUUCACACGACCACGAAACGAACGAACAAACAAACAAUUAACCAAUCGCAAACCACGUAAAUAAAAAAAACAAUUAAUUAAUCGGAUGAACCAAACACGAUGCAUCCCAACGUUGCCGCCCCGCGCGUCGUCGCUCAGUGGAGGUAGUAGGCGAGGAAGGAGGCGACGAGCGCCCCGGCGGCGGGCACGGCGGCGGCGGCGGCGCCGCUUGCGCUAGGGCCAGCCGCACCACCGGCCGCGCCGGCGGGCGCCUCGGAGGGCGCCUCGGAGGCGACCGAGGCCAGCACGGCGGUGGCCGAGGCGGCGGCGACGAGGGCGGCGCAGAGGACCUUCUUCAUCUCCAUGGCUGGCGGGUGGAUCACUUCGUCGCUCCUGGAUAUAGUGGUCCAAGGAACCUGGCGUUCGAGGAGAUGUUAUUAGUUAUUGGGUGGAAUUGGGAGACUGCUCGCUCGACGGCCGGUGAUCUCUCAAUUGCUUCUCCUGCCUCUGGACGGGGCGCCGUUUUAUAGGGGCUCUGGUGCGGCAGCGCGAGCGGUCGCGAGCGAAGCAAGGGCGGCGGCUCAUUCAAUUGGCGGGCUGGCCGUGCGUGAGUGACCGAAAUAGGGUUGGGUUAGCUGGUUGGUUUGCAAUUUUUUUUUUGCAAGUGUUGGAGUUGGAUUAAUAUUUUCUAUGUCAUUUGUGGCUGAGACAAAUUCAAUUCCCGUUCUUUGAUUUUUCUGACAAAAAAAUCAAUCGGAAAAGAAUAAAAAUAGAUGGAUAAAUAUUGUUACUUAGAAGUUGCUACUGAGAAAUAUUUUAUUGUAUUGGCAAAACACGCAUGUUUCCUCUCACGUUAAUCUCUUCGAAAGAAAUAUUGCAUGCUCUAGUAGUUGCAAAUAGCAGUUACACUUGAGAAUGAGUAAAUAUAUUUUGUUCUAUAUGCUACCAUCAAAAUGAUUAUGAUACCGGGAUAUAAGUUCAGUUCAUUUCCAUUAAUAUUAAUUUACAUAUUAGAAGCUAUUUAAUUUGGGUCUACUGCAGAGCACAAUUAAAUAACUUGGGAAUUUCCAUAACACAAAUAAUUUGGGCUUGGCACAAAUAAUAAUUUCUAUAAAUUCCAAAGACUCACUCACACAUGUAUAAUAUGGUGGUAACUUCGGAACCAUCUUGUUACUUUAGGAGGAGUAAGGUUAACUUAAAUAGUCGAGUUGUCUCUACCUGAUUAAAGCUAUUAAGAAAAGAAAAUGGGAAAACUCGCACGCUCGCUCUCCUUGUUGGGACGAGACGGGGACAUGGGCGCACGACAUGCACAACAUGCGCUUCAUUUCGAAUUUCAAUAUUGUCAAAGGUUAUAAAUGCCAAGCGUGUGUGCAAGCAAAGCAACUGCAUAAGCCACACAAGGCUGUAGACGAGAGGCACAUGACAUUAUUAGAGCUCAUACACUCUAAUAUUUGUGACAUGAAUGGUGUGUUGACAAAAGGAGGUAAAAUAUACUUUAUGACUUUAAUUAAUGCUACAACUAAGGUAUUGUUAUGUGUUUCUACUAAAAACUAAAUAUGGAACGCUAGGAUGUUUUAAGACUUAUAAAACUAAGGUGGACAAUCAAUUGGAAAAAGAAAAUAAAACAUGUUAGGUUUCAUCGUGGUGGGGAGUAUUUUUCCAAUGAGUUUGAUCUUUUCUAUUCAGAGAAUGGAAUAAUUCAUGAACGAACACCUCCAUACUCGCCUCAAUCUAAUAGGGUUGUCGAAAGAAAGAAUCCGACGUUAAUCGACUAGGUGAAUACCAUGAUAGAAACAUAUAAUAUGGCAAAGGCAUGUGGGGGAGGAUGUUUUGACAACAUGUCAUGUUCUGAAUAGUGUUCCCAUUAAAAAUAGUGAGAUAACUGUACGAAGGAUGAAAAGGAAGGAAACUUGUCACACCCGAAUUUAAGGGGUAAACGCGGGUACAUCUUAUAUGUGCGCUAAAGAAGAACAACCCAUAUAAUGACCAAGUGUAUAGAGAUAAAUAUCGCAAACAUUUUUACAAAGUGGAAGUGUCUUAUAAAGAUAAAUCAUAACAAUAAACCGAACUAAUAUUAUUUCCUUGGCGCCAUUAAGUCAACUGGGAGACGACUCCUAGACCUCGUCAAACUCCUCGUAGCAGUCGUCCUCCUGGGCUACCUGCUCUUCACCUGUGGGGGGGAGAGUUUUAUCGCAGGAGUGAGCUCACAAAAGUUCAUCGCUCAGCAAGUGUGGGGAAUAAUGUGUAUAAGCUCACCAAAAGCGGGGGGCUCAUGUAUGGUAUUAGGCUGAUCAAUAAAUAAUGGUUAAGGCAAAGCAUUGCUUUUAAUAAGUUGGUCAAGUUUUAUUAGCAGUUACUAAGUAUAAGUAAAUACCAACCUAAAUAAUGAGAGAUCAAAAUUAAUAAAUAAACCACAAUGCGAUGCAAAUGACCAAUUAAGUUUAAUUCCAUAAGUUACUCAUGUGAGGGUCCGAGCCGCUCAUGACCGUGAGCACGACCGAUAUACCAGUUUUAUACUCUGUAGAGGUUGCACAUCUUUACCCAUAAGUCAUGUUACCCAUCUGCCAUGGGGUUGUACGGACCCCAUACACCUCUACGAAGGAGGCGAGGCAGGGUAGCACUACGAGGCCUUUAUAAAGUUCCAUUAGCUUUAGAAAACCCGCUACAUUUUCUGAGGAGAGCAAUAUAGGAAUCCCCUAUCUGAAAAGACAUCGCAGUAAGAUCAACCUGAGAACCACCCUACACCGACACUCCCCUACCGCCCUUGCCCCUUUUGGGUAAGGUAGUCCUCCACUAGCUUUCCUAAUUAGUCACCAAGGGUGUCCCAUACCACCCUUGUAGUAGCACUGUUUUCUUGGGUGGUUCUCCAUGUUCUAAUUAACAUAAUGAUCUUGUCAUGAACAAUAAAUAACUCAUUGGCAAUGAAUAGCAUGAUCAUGAAUAAUGUGUAUCUUAACACCUAAAACCACAUAAAGCAAUAGCACAUACUACCCAAAAGUUCAAUGGUAAACAAGGUAUAAAGAUGACCAAUCUAGGAUGACCUAUUGGGUCCCAGCAAAAUUAACCUAUGCAGAUCAUAAUGAUUAACAAGAACAUUAUUGGAUAAAGAAAAGUGAUCAAGGGCACAACUUGCCUUCAAUGAGCUCCUGCUCGGAGUUUUCCACCUGCUGAGUACCAGGGUCCUCGGUCACUUGUUCGUCUACUCGCAACAAUACAAAGAAACAUGGUAUAGGACAUAUUAACAUCAUACCAAACAUAAGAACAUACCGCAUAAUAAUGUUCUACGCAUCGUAACGAGAUCGCAGGUUCGAGAACCACUAAAUUUGGAGUUACGAUUAAAGAGUUAUGAUUUUUUGAUGAUUUAGGUGUGGGACAUAAAACAAAUUAAGUGCAUGAUUUUAACCAUAUGUUUCAUAACAAAAUAAGGUUACUAGAAGAUAAACAAUAUUAAUAUGAAUUUAAUGCAUCUGGAAUGGAUAAAAAGGAGUUAAAAAUGAAUUACUUAUGAAUUAAACAAGUUUCUAAAAUUAUUUCUAUACUAAAAAACAUUUUCUGAAUUAAUUUAUUCCAUUUAUUCACUUCCUGGGCUGUGACUAGGAUUUUCUAAUAGCUCAAGGUCUAUUUUGUGAAUUUCAGGGCCUAGUCAUAAUUUCUUUUGAACUAAUCUGGAUGGCAGGUUGAUAACUAAAUUAGGUAGGGGCCCUUUUACAAAGCGUCACGGUUGAAGGGGUAUCCUUCAAUUCUGGCCGUCGCUUAAAUGAAUCGGUGCGCUUGUGUAUAUGGUUAGAUCAUGAUCCAACGACCAGAUUUAAAGGCGCGAGGUGUCGCGACUAGAGCCGUAUAUCGGCCGAUCUACAACUAUCAUUGAAUCGAACGAAUCGUUAUGAGGGAUCUAAUCCUACCCGUCCAUUUUCUAAUCUACGCCACAGAGUUCAUCUUCCCCCAUGCCGGUGCAGACACAGCGGCAGCCAUCGCACCGCGGGGGCGCCAUGGACGGCCAUGACCACACCGGCCCUUUAGUGAGCCAAACUCCACGCUAAGAGCUCCUACACAAUGUGGUAACCAUGGCCAGAUUGAUGGGAGGGGUCUCACCGUCGGUAGAGUUGACGGCGAGCCAUGUUGGCAUCGCAGCACGGUUCCGCCUCGAGGGAUUGGCUCCGGCGAGCAUUUCCCAGCACUUCGACCACCGUUUUCGCCUAGGAAGACCUUCUUCGCGCGCGGCGCUCACCGACGAAGACCCCUAGCUCACUAUUGUGGCUCGUCACCGGUGCACGCGCAAGGUCGUCGAUGGUGGACGUUGAUUUCCCUCUCUCUCACGGUGCUUGCUUUGCGAUAGCUAGGGUUUGGGUAACGGCGCACGUCCACCUUAUAUCGGAACCUAGGGCUCACCUCAGGGCACCAUGCAAGCAGCGGGGUCCACGGAGACUGUUAUGCACCUGCGCGGAAGGGCGGUUGCGAGGCUCCCGGGUGAUUGAGACGAAGCUGCCGAUGCAUAGGGUAGUGCGGCUGUUCCGCAGGUCCCACAUGGCAGUGGCACUGGCGAGAAAACGAGUCAGCGCGCUGGUGCCAAGGCGGGUGAGCGGGAUGCAGCUAGGCUGACCUGGCCAAGUUGGCCCAGGUGACCUGUUUUCUUUUUUUCCUGUCUCUUUCUUUUUAUUCAUUUUCUGUUUUAUAUUCUCAUUUAUAAUUUGAAUUCAAGUUUAAGUUAUGAUAUCUUUAUUCAAACAAAAUGCAUCACAUAAAAAUAUCAGCAUGAAUGCACAUUUAAUUUGUUCAACUUGAUCUCUUUAUUUACAUAUGCAAAAGAGAAGAGAGAACAAUUAAUCACAUAGGGUUCCAUAAUUGCCAUGACUUAUUGUAUAAAUAAAAAUUUAUAUUUCAUCCAAAUUUUGGGCUUUACAAAACUAUUGCUCCAUUGUGUAUGUGGGGCUGCUUGGCCAUGGUUAGUGUACGAAUUAAUAAGAAACACAAGCUCAAACCUAAAUCAGUUGAUUGUAUCCUUUUGGGGUAUGCACACUAUAGCAUAGCUUAUAAGUUCUUGGUGAUAAAAUUAGACACACUUGAUAUUUUAGCAGAUUCACUUAUAGAGUAACGAGAUGCCACUUUCUUUGAGGAUAUAUUCUCGAUGAAAGAAAUAUACUCUUUAUCUAGCGAUUCAAAUGAAUUUAUUCCUGAACCCACACUUACAAUUGAGUCAAUUGAAAAUCCACUUGAAGACAAAGAGGAUGCUCCUAGGAGUAAGAGAUUAAUGAUUGAAAAGUCCUUUGGUGAAGACUUCACUAUGUACCUUGUCAAUGACACUCCACAACCAUAGCAGAGGCAUAUGCAUCACCCAAUGAGAAAUAUUGGAAGGAUGCAGUACAUAGUGAGAUAGACUCCAUCACUGCAAAUGGAACAUAGGAGUUUAUAGAUUGACCUAUGGUGAUGAGGACAUCACUCCCAUACAAACAAUACAUGGACCGACAACACGAGCAUGUGCACGAUAGCUAAAUCUCAAGGUUCGUUCUAACCGAGUUAACUGUGUUUUAGAGCUUAUGCUUCGUGCCAUGGAUGUUUUGAUGAUUAGCAACCUUGGAGAGGACCAGCAAGGACGUUCACAGCAAGAGAAAGUCAAGUUUGACUCAACUUUGUCUCCACCUUAGAGUCUAGGACCAGUCUGCACUAAAACGGAUGCCCAUGAUGCAUCCGAACAUUGACUAGAUUGGUCUUUAUAUGGAUGAAAAGCUAAGGAGAUAAGCUUUCUAACCCAACUAGGACCAACUUAAAAUUCAUCUAGAUUCAACGAGCAUCAUCGAAACAAGUCAGCGUUCAGAUUCUGUUUAGUGCUGCGACACCAUCUGUUGGGCUAUUGGCCCAUGUAUCGUGUUGGAGCCCAUUAGGGGUACCUCCAAGGGUUGUGCACGCCCCUAACCUCUAUUUUAUCAGCAGCCUCCGCCACAUUAGGGUUUGGGUCUUGCGUAGAUUUAUUCUAUCAUCGAACAAUGUUGUUGUUCAUCGGUUUGUGAGACCCAACUCGUAAUCAACAAACUUGUGUUCUUCCUGUUCUUGGUUAUGUUCUUGAUUGAGCUUACAGGGAUAAGCCUUCUUGGCGAAAACAUUCUUGUGUCAUGGGUGAUAACCAAUGGAGAAGUGGCAUAGUUAUUGCGGGGAUCCAUUCGCUCGGAGCCUUAGAUCAUGAACGUUGAGAUCUCCACCCAAUCAAGUUAUCCUACCUCACGGAAGAUCGGACCUUAUCCCCUAUCAAGUGGUAUCAAGGUUCAGUUUCCCGUGACAUAUAGUCCUACCUUUAGAUUCGUUUUGUCAUCCUAUAACCCACAAAAAAGCCAAAAAAGAACCAUAACCAUAUGUCAUAUCUUUAAAAACAAUUAGUGUAUCCUAACCUACAGACUUCGCCUAAGUCUUUGCAAAAUUUGGUUUUAGAUUUCGUCGUAUUGAGUUUGUGUCCUAGGUCAAGGUCUUGUUUCUUAUUUAGAUUUGUUUUAGUUCAGUUUAAUCCUUUUUAUCCGCUGUGAUCCCACAAAUUCAAUCUCCAAAACAAAUCCCAUCAUUUUUCAUCUCAUCAUCUCGUCCUUAUCAUAUUAGUUUCUGUCCAAUUUCAGUAUUUUGAGCAUAAAUCUCGUAUACGAACUCGGAAUUUAGUGUUCUUGUACUUUCUAGAAAACUUAGAACAUUAUCUACAACUUCUUUUAUUUACAAGAUUUAUUGAAAACAUGAGUAUCAAAGAGUUAUCUGUAUUGGAAGUAAAUUUGUUUGUGAUCCUAAAAUUUCAGACUAGUCCGUAUUUCGGUCUCAAUAUCUCCCACUUAAUUUAUCCAAAAUAGGUGAUCCAUAUAUCUAAAAGAAAGAGAAAAAUGAGACCUACAACUUUCAUGUUAUGAGUUUUUGCGUUUGAGGUCUCAAUUUGCCAAACAAUCUGUUGAAGUUAGAGCAGAAAAUAUGUGACAGACAGAUGAUAUUUUUUUGAUACUCUUGUGUUAGAUCUUAUUUUUGCAGCACUUUUGUGAAAAAGGGAAGAGCAAAAAAGCCACACAAAAAACAGAAAAAAAUAGAGAGAAAAGAGUGUGCAUAAGCAGGAACAUCAUUGAUCUGUGCACCUUUGUGAUUGUUUUUCAUUCCAACUUGUUCCUUUAUUGUACUUAAAUCCUUGUUGCCUCCUUUGUGUCUUCAUCCAACUGUGCUAAUAUAUUCUCUAGACUAGCAGCUAGGAUGAGUACUUUGGGCAUUUAUUCAUCAUUGUCAUUUGUUAAUUACUUGUGUGCCACAAAUAUAUAUUCAGUGAGCCUCCCCAAAGCUCCACCUUUCUCUCGAGUUGAACAUGUACUCCUUUGCAAUCACACCCAUGCUCUAAGUAUGGUCACACCAGCCACCAUUUGCCUCCUGCGGUGCUGGUAAGAACCUUGUAAGAGCGGGGUAAGACGAUUCAUAACUUGUGUUCCACCACCACCCCUGAGAGUAAUUGUAGGGUUUAUACUGUUUGUUUGUUACCUUUAUUUUCUGUUUUGUACUAACAAUGACAGGACCAAGUACCCAAAUGGAAAAGGAGUUGGGCCCUAAGCCUACUGAUGAUGAGUGUAUCUCCCAUAUAGAACUGAAGGAGAUGAUGUGCAUAUUGACUAAAGCUUUUGAGAGCCACACCAUUGAUGUUGAUUCGUCUUCCUCAUGUUCUAUAUAUCCAUCUGUCACUUCUUUUGAUGCAAAUAUUGCAAAUGAAUAUACUGAAUGGGAAGUAGCAAUGUAUAAGAUUUUUGCACAAUGUCGUAUAUGUGGUAGGAGAAAAAUUAAAGUUGUGGCUAGUACUUUAACAAAUCAUUUGUUAGUUUUGUGGAAUAAUUUGCAUGACUAUGAGAAACCACAAACUUGGACUGAUGUGAAAGCACUUAUGAGAAAACAAUUUGUUUCUAUGGAUGAUACUAAAAAUAAUUUGAGUAAUUCUAUUGAUGUCAUACCUUUAGAUAAAUCUGAGUUGCCCUUGUUACAAGAGGAUUGUCAUGUUGUUCCUUGUGAUAAAGAAGAGUUGUGUGAUGAUAAUACUAUUAUUUCUAUGCCACAACUAGAGAACAAACUUGAUGUUGUUGCUUCUGAUCCUGUUAAUUGUGCCAAAACAAUCCUAUAACUAGUGUGUACGAUGAACUAAAAUUGUUGUCUUCUUUAAAUACUUUGGGCUAUAUUGAAUUUGAUGUUCUAUGUAUUCUAAAUAAUUUAGAGGAGAAACUUUCUUUUAGUGCUGAUUUGCCAUGGUUAUCUAAACAUAUAUAUCAUGUUAUUGGAAGAUAUAAUUGGAAAGGAGAAUAUAUGGUACAUCGAGUAUAUAUUUGUUCAAAUCUGAAAUCUCCUUUUGUCAUGAAAAAUAUGAUCAAUUAGAGGGUUGUGUUAAAGCUAACAAUAUCACAUCUAGUUCCACUUGUACUUCUUUGUAUGUUUUGCAACAACAGGGUCAACUCAAGAAGGGGAGCAACGUUGGACGACAUCAAGCACUACAAUAACACCUUAUGCAGGCACCAACGACUUUGAGUCGAGAACAACUCAAAACAAAUAAGGGGAGAAUGAUGUGUACAUGGAUGUUAACUAUAUGGUCAAGGACCAAUUAAUCAUAGGGUCCCAAGCUCAAGGGAGUUGAAG
This 8919-nucleotide long non-coding RNA is filed under the name Zea mays. RNAcentral describes it as "long non-coding RNA (ZMAY_LNC003224)". Lineage: Eukaryota; Viridiplantae; Streptophyta; Magnoliopsida; Poales; Poaceae. The record is from RNAcentral.